UCUGGUUCAAGGUCUCCACAU
RNAcentral lists this microRNA (21 nucleotides) under Brachypodium distachyon (stiff brome). RNAcentral's name for it is "bdi-miR166g-5p". Its record names the gene bdi-miR166g-5p. The record is from miRBase by way of RNAcentral. Lineage: Eukaryota; Viridiplantae; Streptophyta; Magnoliopsida; Poales; Poaceae.